Molecule: non-coding RNA, 1109 nt
Filed under: Pan troglodytes (chimpanzee)
Lineage: Eukaryota; Metazoa; Chordata; Mammalia; Primates; Hominidae
Also listed under: 1 other name
Source: RNAcentral
CUGGAAUUUACCAUGCAAGAAGCUGUGCAAUGUUUACAUGCUCUAGAAGAAUACUGUCCUUCUAAAGAUGACUAUAGUAAGCUCUGUUUGCUUUUGACUUUGCCUCGUCUGACCAAUCAUGCCGAGUUUAAGGACUGGAAUCCCAGCACCGCACGAGUUCACUGUUUUGAAGAGGCUUGUGUCAUGGUUGCAGAAUUCAUCCCUGCUGAUAGGAAGCUAAGUGAAGCUGGUUUUAAGGCUAGUAACAAUCGUUUAUUUCAGCUUGUAAUGAAAGGCCUGCUUUAUGAAUGCUGUGUAGAAUUUUGUCAGAGUAAAGCAACUGGAGAAGAAAUUACAGAAAGCGAAGUGCUUCUUGGCAUCGACCUCUUAUGUGGUAAUGGUUGUGAUGAUUUGGAUCUGAGUUUACUGUCAUGGCUUCAGAAUCUUCCAUCUUCUGUCUUCUCUUGUGCUUUUGAACAGAAAAUGCUUAAUAUUCAUGUUGACAAACUUCUGAAACCUACAAAAGCUGCAUAUGCUGAUCUUUUGACUCCUCUUAUCAGCAAACUCUCUCCCUAUCCAUCAUCCCCAAUGAGAAGACCUCAAUCAGCUGAUGCCUAUAUGACCCGCUCUCUGAAUCCUGCUUUAGAUGGCCUCACCUGUGGACUAACCAGUCAUGAUAAGAGAAUUUCAGACCUUGGAAACAAAACUUCUCCAAUGUCACACUCCUUUGCUAACUUCCAUUAUCCAGGGGUACAAAACCUCAGUAGAAGUCUCAUGCUUGAGAAUACAGAAUGUCACAGUAUUUACGAAGAAUCCCCUGAGCGAAGUGAUACACCUGUUGAUGCACAGAGGCCUAUCGGCAGUGAAAUCUUGGGCCAGAGUUCAGUUUCAGAAAAAGAGCCUGCAAAUGGAGCACAGAAUCCAGGACCAGCUAAACAAGAAAAAAAUGAGCUUCGAGAUUCAACAGAACAAUUUCAAGAAUAUUAUAGGCAAAGAUUACGCUAUCAACAGCAUUUAGAACAGAAGGAGCAACAGCGGCAGAUAUACCAACAGAUGUUGCUUGAAGGAGGCGUGAAUCAGGAGGAUGGUCCUGAUCAGCAGCAGAAUCUUACUGAACAGUUCCUUAAUAG